Molecule: ribosomal RNA, 397 nt
Filed under: uncultured bacterium
Lineage: Bacteria
Description: partial 16S ribosomal RNA
Rfam family: Bacterial small subunit ribosomal RNA
Source: RNAcentral
AUACGUAGGGAGCGAGCGUUGUCCGGAUUUACUGGGCGUAAAGGGCGCGUAGGCGGGUAAAUAAGUCAGAUGUGAAAACUAUGGGCUCAACCCAUAGCCUGCAUUUGAAACUGUAUAUCUUGAGGGCAGGAGAGGAAAGUGGAAUUCCUAGUGUAGCGGUGAAAUGCGUAGAUAUUAGGAGGAACACCAGUGGCGAAGGCGGCUAUCUGGACAGUAACAGACGCUGAGGCGGGAAAGCGUGGGGAGCAAACAGGAUUAGAUCCCCUGGUAGUCCACGCCGUAAACGAUGAAUACUAGGUGUAGGGGGUAUCGACUCCCUCUGUGCCGCAGUUAACACAAUAAGUAUUCCGCCUGGGGAGCACGGCCGCAAGGUUGAAACUCAAAGGAAUUGACGGGG